UCGGUGCUUGCCUCUCUUCCUCUUUCUCAACCCUUUCUUUCUGUGUGGUUCCUUUUCACCGCUCCUCUUUUUUUUCUUCCGUUGAACCACUUUGUUUCAGAGUACCUUGUGGUUCUAGCUCCACAGCUUCACCCUUGUCUGAAACAGUCACAGUUUCACUUGCAUGCACCGAUAUUUGCGAAGACAACAAUGGGAUCGUGUGGGUUUUCCUCGAACUCAACCAAGUCGGGUAAAGGAAACUGAUGAAUGUCUUUCGGAGGGUGUGUUCCAUGGUAAGCUUUAAGCAGCGAAACGUGAACGAUGGGGUGGAUCUUUGAUGACGAUGGGAGGUCCAACAGAUAGUUGACAGUGCCCGUGCGCUUGAUGAUACGGAAAGGUCCGAAAUACCUUUGAGCUAGCUUUUGAGACUCGCGGCGGUGGACGGUCGUUUGUCGGUACGGUUGUAACUUUAGUAAGACCCAGUCACCUUCCACAAAGGUAACGUGUUGGCGUGUCGUAUUAGCUUGUUUUUCCAUGGCUAUUCUACUUUUUUUCAAAUGUUAUUUUAACUAAGCCAAGAUUUAUUGUUGUUGCUGUAGCGCUGAUUCCAGAUCUGCCUCAGAGGUGGAGUGUUGAACAUAGUCCAUGAGUUUUGGUGGGUCACGACCGUAAAGAGCCUUAAACGGAGUCAUCUGAAUCGCGGAAUGAAAAGACAUAUUGUACCAGUAUUCUGCAAGGUGUAAAAACUUGUGCCACGUUUUCGGAUGCUCUCCCGCAAAACAACGAUUGUGCCGUGAUUUUUGAAGAACUGCUUCCAGAACUUGCUUAAAAAUAAGGGAUCCCGAUCUGAUACGAUGGUUUUUGGACAGCCAUAGAGACGAAAUAUUUCGACUGUGAAACGGUUGGCCAGAUCUUUUGCUGUGAAGUGUGUUGGUAAAGGAAUGAAGUGAACAAAUUUGGAUAGCCGAUCGCAGAUCACCCAUAUUGCAGUGUGGCCGAAUGAACUUGGUAAGUGAGUAAUAAAGUCCAUUGUUAUCUCUUCCCAUACUUGUUUAGGAAUCGGUAAUGGUUGGAGCAACCCUUUUUUCUGAGUUGCAUAUUUGUUUUGUUGACAUGUGGGACACUUCUUAACCAAAUCUUUCACUUCGAGGUACACCCCUGGCCAGCAAAACGAGGCUCGCAGCCUGGCCAAAGUCGCCUUGACACCGGAGUGGCCUGCUGUAGGUGUUUGAUGAUACUCCCGAAGUAUGUUCUGACGCAGAUCGGCUAUAGCAGGUGUUGAGCACAUCUGGGAGAGGAGACGAGAAAACCAGAAGUGUAGAUUUUUCAGGCUCAAACUUCCUGCUUAAAGCGUCCGCCACAAGAUUCGACUUGCCAGGUUUGUAAGAGAUCUCAAAAUCAAAUCCUUGUAAUUUUGCAGUCCAUCUUUGUUGUUCUGGUGUCUGUAUGCGCUGUAGUAGCAAGUUUCUUAGGCUCUUCUGAUCAGUAAAGAUGUGAAAUUUUGACCUAUA
This is a long non-coding RNA of Vicia villosa (hairy vetch), 1490 nucleotides long. RefSeq lists it as uncharacterized. The record is from RefSeq and is a predicted model, not a curated record. Lineage: Eukaryota; Viridiplantae; Streptophyta; Magnoliopsida; Fabales; Fabaceae. The transcript is spliced from 4 exons.